Molecule: long non-coding RNA, 208 nt
Filed under: Medicago truncatula (barrel medic)
Lineage: Eukaryota; Viridiplantae; Streptophyta; Magnoliopsida; Fabales; Fabaceae
Description: lncRNA gene17801
Source: RNAcentral
UUCAGCUUCCGGGUUUGUUCUUAUUUCUACGCGACUGGGACAUGUUUGAAAAUGACACGUUCCAUGUACCCACGGUAUGGGACCCAUACAUCACAUGGCUCUACCAAUAUGAGAAUCAAAGCAAACAGAGAAAGGAUGACCCACAUGUAUUGUAUUGUAGGACCAUGUUCUCUCCUAUCUCAAAGGACAAGUUUUUCUUCUCUGCUGC